This 910-nucleotide ribosomal RNA is filed under the name Mytilinidion resinicola. RNAcentral describes it as "LSU rRNA". It matches the Rfam family "Eukaryotic large subunit ribosomal RNA", at positions 38 to 963 of the family's 3401-position model. The record is from RNAcentral. Lineage: Eukaryota; Fungi; Ascomycota; Dothideomycetes; Mytilinidiales; Mytilinidiaceae.
GCAUAUCAAUAAGCGGAGGAAAAGAAACCAACAGGGAUUGCCUUAGUAACGGCGAGUGAAGCGGCAAUAGCUCAAAUUUGAAAUCUGGCGCCUUUAGGCGUCCGAGUUGUAAUUUGUAGAGGAUGUUUCGGUAUUAGCUCCGGUUUAAGUCCCUUGGAACAGGGCGUCACAGAGGGUGAGAAUCCCGUACGUGACUGGCUGCUUUUGCCAUGUGAAACUCCUUCGACGAGUCGAGUUGUUUGGGAAUGCAGCUCUAAUUGGGAGGUAAAUUUCUUCUAAAGCUAAAUAUUGGCCAGAGACCGAUAGCGCACAAGUAGAGUGAUCGAAAGAUGAAAAGCACUUUGGAAAGAGAGUUAAAAAGUACGUGAAAUUGUUGAAAGGGAAGCGCUUGCAAUCAGACCUGCUUGUAGUUGUUCAUCUAGGCUUUUGUCUAGUGCAUUCUUCUGCAAGUCAGGCCAGUAUCAGUUCGGGCGGUUGGAUAAAGAAUUCAGGAAUGUAGCUCCUUUUGGGGAGUGUUAUAGCCUGUUUUGUAAUGCAACCAGCCCGGAUUGAGGACCGCGCUUCGGCUAGGAUACUGGCGUAAUGGUUGUAAGCGGCCCGUCUUGAAACACGGACCAAGGAGUCUAACAUCUGUGCGAGUGUUUGGGUGCUAAACCCAUACGCGUAAUGAAAGUGAACGGAGGCGGGAACCUUUUUUAGGUGCACCGUCGACCGAUCCUGAUGUCUUCGGAUGGAUUUGAGUAAGAGCAUAGCUGUUGGGACCCGAAAGAUGGUGAACUAUGCUUGAAUAGGGUGAAGCCAGAGGAAACUCUGGUGGAGGCUCGCAGCGGUUCUGACGUGCAAAUCGAUCGUCAAAUUUGGGCAUAGGGGCGAAAGACUAAUCGAACUAUCUAGUAGCUGGGUCCUGCGA